GACGAACGCUGGCGGCGUGCUUAACACAUGCAAGUCGAACGGAAAGGCCCUGCUUUUGUGGGGUGCUCGAGUGGCGAACGGGUGAGUAACACGUGAGUAACCUGCCCUUGACUUUGGGAUAACUUCAGGAAACUGGGGCUAAUACCGGAUAGGAGCUCCUGCUGCAUGGUGGGGGUUGGAAAGUUUCGGCGGUUGGGGAUGGACUCGCGGCUUAUCAGCUUGUUGGUGGGGUAGUGGCUUACCAAGGCUUUGACGGGUAGCCGGCCUGAGAGGGUGACCGGCCACAUUGGGACUGGGAUACGGCCCAGACUCCUACGGGAGGCAGAAGUGGGGAGUAUUGCACAAUGGGCGGAAGCCUGAUGCAGCAACGCCGCGUGCGGGAUGACGGCCUUCGGGUUGUAAACCGCUUUCGCCUGUGACGAAGCGUGAGUGACGGUAAUGGGUAAAGAAGCACCGGCUAACUACGUG
This 468-nucleotide ribosomal RNA is filed under the name uncultured bacterium. Its description in RNAcentral is "partial 16S ribosomal RNA". It matches the Rfam family "Bacterial small subunit ribosomal RNA", at positions 28 to 507 of the family's 1533-position model. The record is from RNAcentral.